GGCUUUGUGGCGGCAGCGGACGGUGGAGGCCGGGUGCAGCCCCGUCGGCUCCGUGCUCUCCGCAGAAAAGGAUUUUCUACGCCCCCCGCCCAUCACUUGGAUCCUGUCUGGGGAGGGAGGGGUGGGAUCUUUCUCUGGAAGUCACCCCCCACCCGCGGUGAAGGAUUUGAGGCUGGGCUCCAAUCGAGGCGGAGGCUGCAGGGCCCGCGGGCGCCCCCCACCCCGCGCACGCCUCCCGGGAGCCCAGGAAGGCGCAGCCCCGGGGGGCCCCCCUGCGCCCCCGGAGGAGGCAGCGGCGCUCCUGUCCAGUGCCCAUCAAGAAUUCGUGGGUAGGGGAACCCGUUUCCAUGCCCUUGCCCACCCCAGGAAGGACGCGGAGAAAAGUCCAAAUGAGUUUCAGAUCAACCUGCCAGUAAUUUUAGCAAGUGAGCCAUGGAGCGCAUAAAGGCCAGAAGAUGGAAAACACUCCAGGGUUGAUAAAAGGAGUUCUGCGCGGCUCAGAAUCGUCCCUCCUCUAGGCCCACCGAGAUCUAUCCGGAGAGGGUCUGAUGGAUGGAGGAAAAAGAAAUGAGACGACGUGGAGUCUCCCUUCAAGGGCUGUGCUCAUAUAAAACCGAACAACUUGAAAUUGUUCCAAGAGGGGAUUAAAGCAACAUGUUAUUUUGAGUGAUUGCUUAAUUUAUUGAGCUGCGGCUAGAUCUGUAACAAAAUACAACCCCUGCAACUGGUAACCUCCUGAUGCAAUUGAACUUCUGCAAUUAAGGACUAUUUUCCAAGAGUUUCUCUGGAAUGGCUUAGAAUCUUCAGCCUCUGUGGUGGGGUGCUUCUGAUCACUCAACUUCUGGGCAAGUUUUGGUGGUGGUGGUGGUAGUGUGUGUGUGUGUGUGUGUGUGUGUGUGUGUGUGUUGUGUUUUUUUGUUUUUUGGUCCAAGAGCGACAGGCUGAUGUCAAUAAGGAAAGGAAGCAGUGUUUAUUGACUGCCUUGUGUUCACCAUGUGCUUAAUAGACAUUAUCUCUAAUCCUGACAACGGCCCAAAGAAGUAACUCUGAUUAGUCCCUAUUUUACAGAUAUGAAGCUUGUAGCUAUUAAGUCAUUUUCCAGAGUGACGCUGUCCAAGACUGGAGCUACUAGUCUUAUGUGGCUAUUUUUGUGUGAAUUAGCUAAGGGUUAAAAAAAUCUGAACAUUCACUUCCUGGGUUGCACCAGCAACUAGUUUAAUGGGCUAGUGACUACCACAUUGCACAGCAAUGACACAGCAAGAGACAGAGACUGCACAGCACAGAGAGACUUUCAAUUACGGCAGAAAGUUUGAGGGAUCGCUCUAUCAGUGAUCUGAAAGGCAGCACAGCAAGAGACAGAGACUGUUUCGAUUAUGGCAGAAAGUUCGAGGGAUUGCUCUAUCAGUGAUCUGAGAGGCAGGAGCUGGGAGUGCCAGGAUUCAAACCCAAGCUGCUUCGAAGGCAGCACCAUUCUGUAUCAUCCCUGGCUUCCUUCUAAUCUCCCUUUGGCCAAGAAGCAGGGACUAGAGCAGUGAUUCUAAGCCCUGAAUGCACAUUAAAAUAACCCAGACUGCUUUAACAAAUAAUACUGAUGGAAGGGUCCUGGCCCCAGGAUUCUAACUUAAUUGUGAUUGGGAGGAUUU
Molecule: long non-coding RNA, 1643 nt
Organism: Mustela lutreola (European mink)
Lineage: Eukaryota; Metazoa; Chordata; Mammalia; Carnivora; Mustelidae
Exons: 3
Source: RefSeq, a predicted model, not a curated record